This 600-nucleotide ribosomal RNA is filed under the name uncultured bacterium. RNAcentral's name for it is "bacterial SSU rRNA". It matches the Rfam family "Bacterial small subunit ribosomal RNA", at positions 338 to 951 of the family's 1533-position model. The record is from RNAcentral.
CCUACGGGAGGCAGCAGUAAGGAAUCUUCCACAAUGGACGAAAGUCUGAUGGAGCAACGCCGCGUGCAGGAUGAAGGCUUUCGGGUCGUAAACUGCUUUUAUAUGGGAAGAUUAUGACGGUACCAUAUGAAUAAGGACCGGCUAACUACGUGCCAGCAGCCGCGGUAAUACGUAGGGUCCAAGCGAUAUCCGGAAUUACUGGGCGUAAAGCGUGUGUAGGUGGAUUAAUAAGUGUGAUGCGAAAUCCGGCGGCUCAACCGUUUGGACUGUGUCGCAUACUGUUAGUCUAGAGGACGGCAGAGGUAAGUGGAAUUACGGGUGUAGCAGUGAAAUGCGUAGAUAUCCGUAGGAACACCAAUGGCGAAGGCAGCUUACUGGGCCACACCUGACACUGAGACACGAAAGCGUGGGGAGCGAACAGGAUUAGAUACCCUGGUAGUCCACGCCGUAAACGAUGCAUACUAUUAGUAUGGGGUAUCGACCCCCUGUGCUGAGAAGCUAACGCGAUAAGUAUGCCGCCUGGGGAGUACGAGCGCAAGCUUAAAACUCAAAUGAAUUGACGGCGUGAGACGUGCCGACGGACGACGACGAGGGAGGAGG